GCUCUCUGCUAAAGGUUACUGAAGUAUAGAGGGUGAAUUCUGCCCAAUGGUUGUAUAGUGAAACUGAGGACUAACGUCUAAAGCGAAACCCAACUGAAUGGCCGCGGUAACUCUGACCGUGAUAAUGUAGCACAAUAAAUAGCCAAUUAAUUGUUGGCGGGUAUGAAUGGAACCACGAGGGUCUUACUGUCUCAAGAGGAAAGCCAAUGAAAUUAUAGUUGUAGUGAAGAUACUACAUAAACAUUGUAAGACGAAAAGACCCUAUCGAGCUUUACUGGAUACCGAUAGCGUUAACUUAAAAUGAUCGAUACUAAGUAUCCUAAUUUUGAGUUAAUAAAAUUUGUUGGUAGGACAGUUUAGUUGGGGCGACUACCUUUGAAUAAGAAACGAAGGCGAGCUUAUGGUAUACAAAGCUAAUCUCUUUAGCCUGACAGUGAGGGGGACACCCCUAGCUGGCACAAGGACUAGGUCCUAUGUGGGCGAUAAUGACCCGAUAUGAUUGUCCAAAAUAAAUAUCGAAAGCGGAUAAAAGCUACCGUAGGGAUAACAGCGUAAUAUUGUCGGAGAGUUCUUAUCGAGGACAGUGUUUGCGACCUCGAUGUUGAAUUGCGGUGCCCUGGUGCUGUAGAAGGUACCUUAGGUUGGUCUGUUCGACCAUG
RNAcentral lists this ribosomal RNA (659 nucleotides) under Paramuricea sp. RNAcentral's name for it is "partial 16S ribosomal RNA". It matches the Rfam family "Bacterial large subunit ribosomal RNA", at positions 1818 to 2589 of the family's 2925-position model. The record is from RNAcentral. Lineage: Eukaryota; Metazoa; Cnidaria; Anthozoa; Malacalcyonacea; Plexauridae.